CAGUCGCCGCGGGAACACGAAGGGUGCAAGCGUUAAUCGGAAUUGCUGGGCGUAAAGCGUGCGUAGGCGGUGAGUUAAGUCUGCUGUGAAAUCCCCGGGCUCAACCGGGGAAUGGCAGUGGAUACUGGCUCGCUAGAGUGUGUCAGAGGAUGGUGGAAUUCCCGGUGUAGCGGUGAAAUGCGUAGAGAUCGGGAGGAACAUCAGUGGCGAAGGCGGCCAUCUGGGACAACACUGACGCUGAGGCACGAAAGCGUGGGGAGCAAACAGGAUUAGAUACCCCCGUAGUCCCUGUCUCUUAUAA
Molecule: ribosomal RNA, 301 nt
Filed under: uncultured bacterium
Lineage: Bacteria
Description: partial 16S ribosomal RNA
Rfam family: Bacterial small subunit ribosomal RNA
Source: RNAcentral